Molecule: long non-coding RNA, 552 nt
Organism: Suricata suricatta (meerkat)
Lineage: Eukaryota; Metazoa; Chordata; Mammalia; Carnivora; Herpestidae
Exons: 3
Source: RefSeq, a predicted model, not a curated record
CGGACGCUCAACCAACUGAGCCACCCUGGCACCCAAAGUGGGGAGCAAGUUCAGUUCAGCGCGUGGAGUCAGCCAUCAGCUAAAACAUUUGUGCGCCUCCUUCUUCUAAGUCAGCUGCAUCCAAUAGAACUUUUGCAAUGAUGUUGAAAUUAACUCUGCAUUGUCCAGGACGAUCUCUGCCUGGCUCUUUCUGCUUCCUAGAGAAGUUUGCUUCUGCCCCGCUGCAGUCUCUACACUGACACAUGUCUUCCCAUCAGAAAAGAAGCCCUCAUUCCAAUAAACCAAGUCCAUUGUCCUUACUAAAAAUUUGUCACUGAUUCUAAGAGAGUUGCCUUUAUAUGGAUUUUUUGAAGAGUGAAAAUGUGAGAUUUCUUUUUUCCAAAGGGAAGCUCAGUUGCUUUGUUAGGAGACAUAGCCAACCAAUAAUGCUUUCAUGAAGGAAGGUUCUUAAGGCCAGGCCACUUGUCCUUCACAAUUAAGAAUGAUAUUUACCAUUUUAUUAGCAUUUUUAUAAAAACUACACAUUUUCCCAAGGAAACGUGUUUAAAAUAA